Molecule: ribosomal RNA, 544 nt
Filed under: uncultured bacterium
Lineage: Bacteria
Description: bacterial SSU rRNA
Rfam family: Bacterial small subunit ribosomal RNA
Source: RNAcentral
ACGUAAUAGAUACCCUGGUAGUCCACGCCCUAAACGAUGUCUACUACGUUGUUGGUGGAGUAAAAUCCAAUGAAGUAAAACGCGAAGCUAAACGCGUGAAGUAGACCGCCUGGGGAGUACGGUCGCAAGAUUAAAAACUCAAAGGAAUUGACGGGGGCCCGCACAAGCGGUGGAUUAUGUGGAUUAAAUUCGAUGCAACGCGAAAAACCUUACCUGGCCUUGACAUGCCACUAACGAAGCAGAGAUGCAUUAGGUGCCCGUAAGGGAAAGUGGACACAGGUGCUGCAUGGCUGUCGUCAGCUCGUGUCGUGAGAUGUUGGGUUAAGUCCCGCAACGAGCGCAACCCUUGCCAUUAAUUGCCAUCAUUUAGUUGGGCACUUUAAUGGGACUGCCGGUGACAAACCGGAGGAAGGUGGGGAUGACGUCAAGUCCUCAUGGCCCUUAUGGCCAGGGCUUCACACGUAAUACAAUGGUCGGUACAGAGAGUUGCCAACCCGCGAGGGGGAGCUAAUCUCAGAAAGCCGAUCGUAGUCCGGAUUGUUCU